GUGACCAUAAAGACAGUUUAUUACAUUUUUCCUUUGUAUGUUUAUCUCAAUUGUAUUAAUCUUUUCAAUCUAAUAACAGACCUGUGUAUUUACAGGGACACGUAAAAUAGCCUAUACAAGAUUUAUAUAUUUCAUAAACGUUAAUCUAAAGUGGUGUAGGCUAACGGUUAAAAAGUGUGAAAGAGUCAGUGUACAAAAAUCCUACAAAUGCCAAUUUCUCUCAGUGAAACCUCGAUUUUUCUGAGCCUCGAAAACAGUCUGUUAAGACACUUUUGGACUAUAAGGGUGUCAUCAGGAAUGGCCUGAAAUCUCUUUCAUUCUCCGCGAAGUCAUUUGACUACAUAUCCACGCUAUGUUAACGUUAAACUUGCUAUAUCAGCCUACUUAAUCCAGAAGACCCCUCGAUGACAAAAACUAAAUAAUGCUUAUAAUUCAAUGCAAAAUAACAUAUCAUGAAAAUAAAUUAAGAUUUGAAGAUAACUGUCAGAAUUCAUUACCCAUACAUAAUAGUUUUAUAUUAAACAGGGUUUAUAUUUUAACUCAGGACUUUAUGGUGAGUCAUUGAUAUAUUUAUAGGAGCUGUGGGAAAGUUUGAAAUCCUUUUCUCAAUAGGUUUUACAUAUGCAUAAGUAUGGUAAUCGCGAUCCUGCUGUGUUGCAAACAGUCGCAGCAGAUCAUACAUGUGCUGCACAACUUCGGACCGUACGAAGUCGCCAAGACGAGGACAUGCAGAGUCCAAGGCUGAAGGAAAGCGUGACCAUCACUUACCCACUGGAAUCGAGCAGGAGGAAACUGUUAUCAAAUGAUUAACCAAAAUGAAUGAUGAUUCUGAGGAAGUGCGUUGCUCUUUGAAGUGAGGAAGGAAGGUUGAGAGAGCUCUCUCUCCAGCACAUGCCUCCCUCAUUAGUGUCCAGCAGCCGAAGACGCGAGGUCACAAACCUAAUGAGCUGCCCAUUUCAUUCAGCUUUGCUGACAUGGAAAGAUGACCACAGUGACCUAAUGUUGCAGGACGGUCUGACAGCACAUUGUACACAUAUAAAGUAGCCUGAGUAACCCUUGAACCUUGGGUGGAGUGCAUUAUUUUGUAUGAAACUGCUAUAUUGUCCAACUUUUCAACAUGCUUGUAGAUUUUAUUCAUUCAAUAAAUUGUGCAUUUUUCAAAAAAAAAAAAAAAGGGAACAGGUCUUGUGAUUUAUUUGCUGAACCGGCGUGGGUAAUGAAAUAUUUAAUAUCCUGUGUAUUAAAAUGAUCAGUCUCGAAUCCAUUGACAUGGUUGAAUCAGUACUACACUAAGGGACUUCUGCACAGGGAGUUAUUGCUUCAGUCUGAACAUGUCACCUCUACAAUAUUUCUAUGAUUAUAAUGUACAAUUAUCCUUUCUUUUCUUGUUCUCUGGCUUGCCAUUGUUUAAACAUUUCAC
Carassius auratus (goldfish) is the source of this 1420-nucleotide long non-coding RNA. RefSeq lists it as uncharacterized. The transcript has 4 exons. The record is from RefSeq and is a predicted model, not a curated record. NCBI's taxonomy places the organism in Eukaryota, Metazoa, Chordata, Actinopteri, Cypriniformes, Cyprinidae.